This 468-nucleotide ribosomal RNA is filed under the name uncultured bacterium. RNAcentral's name for it is "partial 16S ribosomal RNA". It matches the Rfam family "Bacterial small subunit ribosomal RNA", at positions 28 to 507 of the family's 1533-position model. The record is from RNAcentral.
GACGAACGCUGGCGGCGUGCUUAACACAUGCAAGUCGAACGGAAAGGCCCUGCUUUUGUGGGGUGCUCGAGUGGCGAACGGGUGAGUAACACGUGAGUAACCUGCCCUUGACUUUGGGAUAACUUCAAGAAACUGGGGCUAAUACCGGAUAGGAGCUCCUGCUGCAUGGUGGGGGUUGGAAAGUUUCGGCGGUUGGGGAUGGACUCGCGGCUUAUCAGCUUGUUGGUGGGGUAGUGGCUUACCAAGGCUUUGACGGGUAGCCGGCCUGAGAGGGUGACCGGCCACAUUGGGACUGUGAUACGGCCCAGACUCCUACGGGAGGCAGCAGUGGGGAAUAUUGCACAAUGGGCGGAAGCCUGAUGCAGCAACGCCGCGUGCGGGAUGACGGCCUUCGGGUUGUAAACCGCUUUCGCCUGUGACGAAGCGUGAGUGACGGUAAUGGGUAAAGAAGCACCGGCUAACUACGUG